CGUACACUCCUACGGGAGGCAGCAGUGGGGAAUUUUGGACAAUGGGCGAAAGCCUGAUCCAGCCAUGCCGCGUGCAGGAUGAAGGCCUUCGGGUUGUAAACUGCUUUUGUACGGAACGAAACGGCCUUUUCUAAUAAAGAGGGCUAAUGACGGUACCGUAAGAAUAAGCACCGGCUAACUACGUGCCAGCAGCCGCGGUAAUACGUAGGGUGCAAGCGUUAAUCGGAAUUACUGGGCGUAAAGCGUGCGCAGGCGGUUAUGUAAGACAGUUGUGAAAUCCCCGGGCUCAACCUGGGAACUGCAUCUGUGACUGCAUAGCUAGAGUACGGUAGAGGGGGAUGGAAUUCCGCGUGUAGCAGUGAAAUGCGUAGAUAUGCGGAGGAACACCGAUGGCGAAGGCAAUCCCCUGGACCUGUACUGACGCUCAUGCACGAAAGCGUGGGGAGCAAACAGGAUUAGAUACCCGGGUAGUCCCAUGA
RNAcentral lists this ribosomal RNA (479 nucleotides) under uncultured organism. Its description in RNAcentral is "partial 16S ribosomal RNA". It matches the Rfam family "Bacterial small subunit ribosomal RNA", at positions 330 to 800 of the family's 1533-position model. The record is from RNAcentral.